Molecule: unclassified non-coding RNA, 281 nt
Filed under: Hevea brasiliensis (rubber tree)
Lineage: Eukaryota; Viridiplantae; Streptophyta; Magnoliopsida; Malpighiales; Euphorbiaceae
Source: RNAcentral
UGAUACUCUUCUUUGCUAAACUCUGCAACAUUUAGAAUAACACAGAUAAAAUGGGAGAAUGCGGUGGAAAAAGAUGGUAAUAAAACAAUUAAACUAAAUCUAGGAGGCACUCGAAAAAAUAAUGUAAUGCAGAAGCAAAAGUAUUGGUGAGUGUCUUAGUUGAGUGACCUUAAGAAUACCAAAGUCACUCUCAACAAUGCACAAGUAAAAGUUUUGGACUUUAAUUUAGUGGGAAAAAAAAUCAGAAAAACACAAACCUCCUGAUCCAAGCAAAGCAGUUG